This 1270-nucleotide ribosomal RNA is filed under the name Marinobacter nauticus. Its description in RNAcentral is "bacterial SSU rRNA". It matches the Rfam family "Bacterial small subunit ribosomal RNA", at positions 51 to 1316 of the family's 1533-position model. Lineage: Bacteria; Pseudomonadati; Pseudomonadota; Gammaproteobacteria; Pseudomonadales; Marinobacteraceae. The record is from RNAcentral.
ACCCAUGGCAAGUCGAGCGGUAACAGGGUGUAGCUUGCUUCCCGCUGACGAGCGGCGGACGGGUGAGUAAUGCUUAGGAAUCUGCCCAGUAGUGGGGGAUAGCCCGGGGAAACCCGGAUUAAUACCGCAUACGUCCUACGGGAGAAAGCAGGGGAUCUUCGGACCUUGCGCUAUUGGAUGAGCCUAAGUCGGAUUAGCUAGUUGGUGGGGUAAAGGCCUACCAAGGCGACGAUCCGUAGCUGGUCUGAGAGGAUGAUCAGCCACAUCGGGACUGAGACACGGCCCGAACUCCUACGGGAGGCAGCAGUGGGGAAUAUUGGACAAUGGGGGCAACCCUGAUCCAGCCAUGCCGCGUGUGUGAAGAAGGCUUUCGGGUUGUAAAGCACUUUCAGUAGGGAGGAAAACCUUAUGGCUAAUACCCAUGAGGCUUGACGUUACCUACAGAAGAAGCACCGGCUAACUCCGUGCCAGCAGCCGCGGUAAUACGGAGGGUGCAAGCGUUAAUCGGAAUUACUGGGCGUAAAGCGCGCGUAGGUGGUUUGGUAAGCGAGAUGUGAAAGCCCCGGGCUUAACCUGGGAACGGCAUUUCGAACUGUCAGACUAGAGUGUGGUAGAGGGUAGUGGAAUUUCCUGUGUAGCGGUGAAAUGCGUAGAUAUAGGAAGGAACACCAGUGGCGAAGGCGGCUACCUGGACCAACACUGACACUGAGGUGCGAAAGCGUGGGGAGCAAACAGGAUUAGAUACCCUGGUAGUCCACGCCGUAAACGAUGUCAACUAGCCGUUGGGACUCUUGAAGUCUUAGUGGCGCAGCUAACGCACUAAAGUUGACCGCCUGGGGAGUACGGCCGCAAAGGUUAAAACUCAAAUGAAUUGACGGGGCCCGCACAAGCGGUGGAGCAUGUGGUUUAAUUCGACGCAACGCGAAGAACCUUACCUGGGCUUUGACAUCCAGAGAACUUUCCAGAGAAUGGAUUGAUGCCUUCGGGAACUCUGAGACAGGUGCUGCAAUGGGCGUCGUCAGCUCGUGUCUGAGAAUGUUGGGUUAAGUCCCGUAACGAGCGCAACUCCUAAUCCCUGGUUGCUAGCAAGUAAUGCUGAGAAACUCCAAGGGAGACUGCGGUGAACAAACGAAGAAAGGUGGGGAAUGAACGUCAGUCAUCAUGCUACGGCAGGUCUAACACGUGCUACAAUGCCCGUACAGAGGCUGCAACUCGGAGAUGAACAUCCUAACGCGCUCGUGAUCGAAUCUGGAGACUCGUGCAACAUCGA